GGAACGAUACAGAGAAGAUUAGCAUGGC
This 28-nucleotide non-coding RNA is filed under the name Bombyx mori (domestic silkworm). Lineage: Eukaryota; Metazoa; Arthropoda; Insecta; Lepidoptera; Bombycidae. The record is from RNAcentral. RNAcentral also lists the same sequence under 4 other names.